RNAcentral lists this ribosomal RNA (448 nucleotides) under uncultured bacterium. RNAcentral's name for it is "partial 16S ribosomal RNA". It matches the Rfam family "Bacterial small subunit ribosomal RNA", at positions 329 to 792 of the family's 1533-position model. The record is from RNAcentral.
UUCCAGACUCCUACGGGAGGCAGCAGUGGGGGAUAUUGCACAAUGGGGGGAACCCUGAUGCAGCGACGCCGCGUGGGCGAAGAAGUAUUUCGGUAUGUAAAGCCCUAUCAGCAGGGAAGAAGAAAUGACGGUACCUGAGUAAGAAGCACCAGCUAAAUACGUGCCAGCAGCCGCGGUAAUACGUAUGGUGCAAGCGUUAUCCGGAUUUACUGGGUGUAAAGGGAGCGCAGGCGGCACGGCAAGCCUGAUGUGAAAGCCCGCGGCCCAACCGCGGGACUGCAUUGGGAACUACCGGGCUGGAGUGCCGGAGAGGUAGGCGGAAUUCCUAGUGUAGCGGUGAAAUGCGUAGAUAUUAGGAGGAACACCAGUGGCGAAGGCGGCCCACUGGACGGUGACUGACGCUGAGGCUCGAAAGCGUGGGGAGCAAACAGGAUUAGAUACCCUUGUA